This is a long non-coding RNA of Bactrocera dorsalis (oriental fruit fly), 1730 nucleotides long. RefSeq lists it as uncharacterized. The transcript has 3 exons. The record is from RefSeq and is a predicted model, not a curated record. Lineage: Eukaryota; Metazoa; Arthropoda; Insecta; Diptera; Tephritidae.
ACAGGCGUUGGGUGAGAGCGUGAGCAUUACGCCGUGUGCUUUUAACGCUUUCAUUUACUGCGUUUCUGUUUAAAUUUUUGUUUUUGGUUUUUCGUUUUUUGCAAAGAACGAAGCGUCAAAGCUACUUACGCUCGUGCGGCCAAUGCUUGCGUCGUUGACUGGCUAACUGGCUAGCUGGUUGUUUUGCACUGGCGAGCAGACACUUGUGGUAGUUGCAUUUUGACCGUACGCGAGUAAAGCCACAAAUGUAAACAAAGCGCGCUAAUUGAAGAAACCCCAGAGCGCAUCGGAAAAUCAAAUUCGUAAAGCUGCGACGAAGCAAAAAUAUUUCAACUAAAUUUUCAAAGCAAAGUCGCGAGGAAAAUAUUCUACAAUUUUUAGAAGUCUUGAACAUUUGGUGCUGUGACAACUUGUAUGACGCACUCGUCAACCGUCAUUCACCGAAAAGCAACACCUGUGUCAGUGCUAAAGUGACUCGCGGCAGUGUGUGAUGCAACAGAAAGUGACUACCUGUAUGAAAAUAUUACAGAAUUUGAAAUAAUUUUGUUGAAAAAUUCAAAUAAUAUUUGUAUGUGGCCAACUAAUUUGUAACAAACAACAACAACAGCAGUGUUUGCGUAAUUGCAUAAUUAAAAAUUCAAUGAAAAAGACAAAUGCAAAUUAACAGCAAGUGUUUAAAUAAAAAGUGUUUUGAAACGAAAAAUUAUUGCUGCAUAUUACACUGUGCAACACAAACGAAAUUCAAGCAUUUGCAGAGAAAGUGUGAAUAUGCUUCAUUCGUUCAGAAUGCAAGUGAAAUCAAAAUCAGUGAAGAGAAAUUUAAAUAAUUAAACAAAAACAAAAACAGUGUCAAGUAAAUUACCAAAACUAACAAAAGUUUAUCAAAAACAUAUUCAAAAUAAGCAAACUUGUGUGUGGAUUUUCAAGCACUAAUUGUUCUGCCUGCGACUAAGGAACCUAUUGAGCUGAAAAAACGUUUGGAAGAGGUGCGUCUGCUCGAAUCGCGACGCUCUGCACGCUUGGCUGAUCAGGAACGCGACACAGAUUUCGCACGCCUAGCCGACAUGGGUGGCGAUCGCCGCCGCACAACAUCACACAGCAUCGAGGUGCCAAUGUCCUUAACGCCGCAGAAUAAGUGAGUAAAAAUUAAAUAUUUUCCAUAAUUUUUUUUAAUUAAAUAGAAAUAAACAAAGUCAAAUGCAUUAAACAGAAUUAGGUUAAUUAAAAUUAAAUAAUAUUAAAUUAUUUAAGAAUAUUUGAAAUUUAAGUUUUUGCUGCAAGCAAAAUUCCCAUUGGAAUGAGUAACAAAACCAAUAAUUCUUAUGCUGAUUUUUCCAUAUGAACUAUAUAGUUGCGUGUAAAAAAUUUAAAUUAUAAGUUUUUUUUUUAAUGUUUCGCAUAUUUAUGCAUGCGUAUAGUACAUUGCAUUAUUUUUUUUAUUUUUUCGCAAUAUCGAAACAGCAAAUACAUAAGUUUGCCGAUUGCCACAUUAGAAGCGAGGCAGCCGCCUGUUUUAUUUCAAUAACUCCACAAAUAUGACCUAAAAAUGAUGAAAAUGAGAAACACAAACAAAAUUGGCGCAAUUUGAAGCAUUCCAUUGCCGACGAAAUGGGGUCACAUGCUGCCCCUUCCAGUCACUUUCAAAGCAUGCAUACAUACAUAUAUACUUAUGCUGCCAUGUACACAUGUAUGUACAUAUAUAUAUAAAAUUUAAUCCACAAUCACACGCA